GACGAAAGUCUGACCGAGCAACGCCGCGUGAGUGAAGAAGGUUUUCGGAUCGUAAAGCUCUGUUGUAAGUCAAGAACGUGUGUGAGAGUGGAAAGUUCACACAGUGACGGUAGCUUACCAGAAAGGGACGGCUAACUACGUGCCAGCAGCCGCGGUAAUACGUAGGUCCCGAGCGUUGUCCGGAUUUAUUGGGCGUAAAGGGAGCGCAGGCGGUCAGGAAAGUCUGGAGUAAAAGGCUAUGGCUCAACCAUAGUGUGCUCUGGAAACUGUCUGACUUGAGUGCAGAAGGGGAGAGUGGAAUUCCAUGUGUAGCGGUGAAAUGCGUAGAUAUAUGGAGGAACACCAGUGGCGAAAGCGGCUCUCUGGUCUGUCACUGACGCUGAGGCUCGAAAGCGUGGGUAGCGAACAGGAUUAGAUACCCUGGUAGUCCACGCCGUAAACGAUGAGUGCUAGGUGUUAGGCCCUUUCCGGGGCUUAGUGCCGGAGCUAACGCAAUAAGCACUCCGCCUGGGGAGUACGACCGCAAGGUUGAAACUCAAAGGAAUUGACGGGGGCCCGCACAAGCG
This 566-nucleotide ribosomal RNA is filed under the name Streptococcus mutans. RNAcentral describes it as "bacterial SSU rRNA". It matches the Rfam family "Bacterial small subunit ribosomal RNA", at positions 374 to 931 of the family's 1533-position model. The record is from RNAcentral. Lineage: Bacteria; Bacillati; Bacillota; Bacilli; Lactobacillales; Streptococcaceae.